RNAcentral lists this ribosomal RNA (714 nucleotides) under uncultured Staphylococcus sp. RNAcentral describes it as "bacterial SSU rRNA". It matches the Rfam family "Bacterial small subunit ribosomal RNA", at positions 53 to 748 of the family's 1533-position model. Lineage: Bacteria; Bacillati; Bacillota; Bacilli; Caryophanales; Staphylococcaceae. The record is from RNAcentral.
ACAUGCAAGUCGAGCGAACAGACGAGGAGCUUGCUCCUCUGACGUUAGCGGCGGACGGGUGAGUAACACGUGGGUAACCUACCUAUAAGACUGGGAUAACUCCGGCGAAACCGGGGCUAAUACCGGAUAACACAUGAAACCGCAUGGUCUCAUGAUGAAAGACGGUUUUGCUGUCACUUAUAGAUGGACCCGCGGCGUAUUAGCUAGUUGGUAAGGUAACGGCUUACCAAGGCAACGAUACGUAGCCGACCUGAGAGGGUGAUCGGCCACACUGGAACUGAGACACGGUCCAGACUCCUACGGGAGGCAGCAGUAGGGAAUCUUCCGCAAUGGGCGAAAGCCUGACGGAGCAACGCCGCGUGAGUGAUGAAGGUCUUCGGAUCGUAAAACUCUGUUAUUAGGGAAGAACAAGGAUGUAAGUAACUAUGCAUCCCUUGACGGUACCUAAUCAGAAAGCCACGGCUAACUACGUGCCAGCAGCCGCGGUAAUACGUAGGUGGCAAGCGUUAUCCGGAAUUAUUGGGCGUAAAGCGCGCGUAGGCGGUUUUUUAAGUCUGAUGUGAAAGCCCACGGCUCAACCGUGGAGGGUCAUUGGAAACUGGAAAACUUGAGUGCAGAAGAGGAAAGUGGAAUUCCAUGUGUAGCGGUGAAAUGCGCAGAGAUAUGGAGGAACACCAGUGGCGAAGGCGACUUUCUGGUCUGCAACUGACGCUG